ACGGCUCAGUAACACGUGGAUAACCUGCCCUUGGGUCCGGCAUAACUCCGGGAAACUGGAGAUAAUUCCGGAUAACGCAUAUAUGCUGGAAUGCUUUAUGCGUAAAAUGGAUUCGUCUGCCCAAGGAUGGGUCUGCGGCCUAUCAGGUAGUAGUGGGUGUAAUGUACCUACUAGCCUACGACGGGUACGGGUUGUGAGAGCAAGAGCCCGGAGAUGGAUUCUGAGACAUGAAUCCAGGCCCUACGGGGCGCAGCAGGCGCGAAAACUUUACAAUGCGGGAAACCGUGAUAAGGGGACACCGAGUGCCAGCAUCAUAUGCUGGCUGUCCAGGUGUGUAAAAUACACCUGUUAGCAAGGGCCGGGCAAGACCGGUGCCAGCCGCCGCGGUAACACCGGCGGCCCGAGUGGUGAUCGUGAUUAUUGGGUCUAAAGGGUCCGUAGCCGGUUUGGUCAGUCCUCCGGGAAAUCUGAUAGCUCAACUAUUAGGCUUUCGGAGGAUACUGCCAGACUUGGAACCGGGAGAGGUAAGAGGUACUACAGGGGUAGGAGUGAAAUCUUGUAAUCCCUGUGGGACCACCUGUGGCGAAGGCGUCUUACCAGAACGGGUUCGACGGUGAGGGACGAAAGCUGGGGGCACGAACCGGAUUAGAUACCCGGGUAGUCCCAGCCGUAAACGAUGCUCGCUAGGUGUCAGGCAUGGCGCGACCGUGUCUGGUGCCGCAGGGAAGCCGUGAAGCGAGCCACCUGGGAAGUACGGCCGCAAGGCUGAAACUUAAAGGAAUUGGCGGGGGAG
RNAcentral lists this ribosomal RNA (793 nucleotides) under uncultured archaeon. RNAcentral describes it as "bacterial SSU rRNA". It matches the Rfam family "Archaeal small subunit ribosomal RNA", at positions 85 to 876 of the family's 1478-position model. The record is from RNAcentral.